This 301-nucleotide ribosomal RNA is filed under the name uncultured bacterium. RNAcentral describes it as "partial 16S ribosomal RNA". It matches the Rfam family "Bacterial small subunit ribosomal RNA", at positions 509 to 807 of the family's 1533-position model. The record is from RNAcentral.
CAGUCGCCACGGGAAUGCAGAGGAUGCAAGCGUUAUCCGGAAUGAUUGGGCGUAAAGCGUCUGUAGGUGGCUUUUCAAGUCCGCCGUCAAAUCCCCGGGCUCAACCCUGGACAGGCAGUGGAAACUACCAAGCUGGAGUAUGGUAGGGGCAGAGGGAAUUUCCAGUGGAGCGGUGAAAUGCGUUGAGAUUGGAAAGAACACCAAUGGCGAAAGCACUCUGCUGGGCCGACACUGACACUGAGAGACGAAAGCUAGGGGAGCAAAUGGGAUUAGAUACCCCCGUAGUCCCUGUCUCUUAUAC